Molecule: unclassified non-coding RNA, 281 nt
Filed under: Chaetosphaeria sp.
Lineage: Eukaryota; Fungi; Ascomycota; Sordariomycetes; Chaetosphaeriales; Chaetosphaeriaceae
Description: partial contains 5.8S ribosomal RNA, internal transcribed spacer 2, and large subunit ribosomal RNA
Rfam family: 5.8S ribosomal RNA (bases 1-71)
Source: RNAcentral
GUGAAUCAUCGAAUCUUUGAACGCACAUUGCGCCCGCCAGCAUUCUGGCGGGCAUGCCUGUUCGAGCGUCAUUUCAACCCUCAGGCCCUGCCUGGUGUUGGAGGACUGCGCAUGCAGCCUCCCAAAGCAAGCGGCGGCGGCGCCCCAAAACCGAACGCAGUAGUAAUAUCUCGUUCUGGGUCUGGGUCGUUGUCCUGCCGGAAAACCCCCAUCUUUUUAAUGGUUGACCUCGAAUCAGGUAGGAAUACCCGCUGAACUUAAGCAUAUCAAUAAGCGGAGGA